Molecule: ribosomal RNA, 496 nt
Filed under: uncultured bacterium
Lineage: Bacteria
Description: partial 16S ribosomal RNA
Rfam family: Bacterial small subunit ribosomal RNA
Source: RNAcentral
AUUGAACGCUGGCGGAAUGCCUUACACAUGCAAGUCGAACGGUAGAGGGGGCAACCCCUCGAGAGUGGCGAACGGGUGAGUAAUAUAUCGGAACGUGCCCAGUCGUGGGGGAUAACGUAGCGAAAGUUACGCUAAUACCGCAUACGAUCUAAGGAUGAAAGCGGGGGAUCGCAAGAACUCGCGCGAUUGGAGCGGCCGAUAUCAGAUUAGGUAGUUGGGGGGGUAAAGGCUCACCAAGCCAACGAUCUGUAGCUGGUCUGAGAGGACGACCAGCCACACUGGAACUGAGACACGGUCCAGACUCCUACGGGAGGCAGCAGUGGGGAAUUUUGGACAAUGGACGCAAGUCUGAUCCAGCCAUUCCGCGUGCAGGAUGAAGGCCCUCGGGUUGUAAACUGCUUUUGUACGGAACGAAAAGGUCUCUCUUAAUACGGGGGGCUCAUGACGGUACCGUAAGAAUAAGCACCGGCUAACUACGUGCCAGCAGCCGCCGUAA